Molecule: ribosomal RNA, 509 nt
Filed under: Starmerella bacillaris
Lineage: Eukaryota; Fungi; Ascomycota; Dipodascomycetes; Dipodascales; Trichomonascaceae
Description: partial large subunit ribosomal RNA
Rfam family: Eukaryotic large subunit ribosomal RNA
Source: RNAcentral
GGAGGAAAAGAAACCAACAGGGAUUGCCCUAGUAACGGCGAGUGAACAGGCAAGAGCUCAGAUUUGAAAGGCACUUUUGUGCCGUUGUAUUCUGAAGUUAGGGUCCUGAGAAACGAUGCUUAAGUCUUCUGGAAAGGAGCGCCAUGGAGGGUGAUAGCCCCGUCUAGCAUUGACCUCAUAUAGGAUCUUAACAUGGAGUCGAGUUGUUUGGGAAUGCAGCUCAAAUGGGUGGUAUGCUCCAUCUAAAGCUAAAUAUCUGCGAGAGACCGAUAGUAAACAAGUACUGUGAGGGAAAGAUGAAAAGAACUUUGAAAAGAGAGUGAAAAAGUACGUGAAAUUGUUGAAAUGGAAGGGUAGGCCGCUAACCAUGUAGAGCCGUGUUUGGGGGGAAGAUAAAUGCUGUAGAAUGUAGCUCCUCGGAGUAUUAUAGAUGCAGUUCAUAUUCCCACCCGAGCGCGAGGAUCUCAGGUUCUACUAAAUGGUGGUCUACCACCCGUCUUGAACCACGG